GAUGAAGAACGUAGCGAAAUGCGAUAAGUAAUGUGAAUUGCAGAAUUCAGUGAAUCAUCGAAUCUUUGAACGCACCUUGCGCCCUUUGGCCAUUCCGAAGGGCAUGCCUGUUUGAGUAUCAUGAACACCUCAACUCUUCAUGGUUUUCCGUGAUGAGCUUGGACUUUGGGGGUCUUGCUGGCCUAUGGUCAGCUCCUCUAAAAUAAAUCAGCUUGCCAGUGUUUGGUGGGUAUCACAGGUGUGAUAACUAUCUACGCUUGUGGUUUUCCACCAGGUAACCUUCAGCAGUGGAGGUUCGCUGGAGCUCACAGAUGUGUCUCUCCUCAGUGAGGACAGCUCUUUGAAUGUUUGAUCUCAAAUCAGGUAGGACUACCCGCUGAACUUAAGGAUAUCAAUAAGCGGAGGA
This 406-nucleotide unclassified non-coding RNA is filed under the name soil metagenome. RNAcentral describes it as "partial contains 5.8S ribosomal RNA, internal transcribed spacer 2, and large subunit ribosomal RNA". The stretch from base 1 to 121 matches the Rfam family "5.8S ribosomal RNA", at positions 35 to 154 of the family's 154-position model. The record is from RNAcentral.